ACCGCCCUACGGUGUUUGUGGUUAGCCCUAGUUUUGAGCCAACACAUUUUUAAGGGGAGCUUGGCCUCUGGAUGUGGAUUGUAGGCCUUCAAACGGAGGAAACAAAAAGCAUGCAGGAGAGCACCCACCUGCGAGAGCAGGUUCAAAACGGGGCGUCACGGCACGUGUGGGGUUCCA
Molecule: non-coding RNA, 177 nt
Filed under: Bacillota bacterium
Lineage: Bacteria; Bacillati; Bacillota
Also listed under: 1 other name
Description: 6S RNA
Rfam family: 6S / SsrS RNA
About the family: E. coli 6S RNA was the first non coding RNA to be sequenced, but its function was unknown until recently. It consists of 184 nucleotides that fold into an extended hairpin structure with a large single-stranded internal bulge.
Source: RNAcentral